CAGAGCAUAGCUUAAAAAAAGCACCUCGCUUACACCGAGCCGCUGUCUAUUAACACGGACUACUCUGAG
Molecule: transfer RNA, 69 nt
Filed under: Pristimantis ceuthospilus (Wild's robber frog)
Lineage: Eukaryota; Metazoa; Chordata; Amphibia; Anura; Strabomantidae
Description: tRNA-Val
Source: RNAcentral